AAAGCAUCUAAGCGGGAAGCCUGUUUUAAGAUGAGGUUUCUUUUGAGGUUCCCCACAGACUAUGGGGUUGAUAGGCCAGAUCUAGAAGACGGGCAACCGUUGAAGGUGACUGGUACUAAUACACCAACAAAAAACACAAA
RNAcentral lists this ribosomal RNA (140 nucleotides) under Corynebacterium sanguinis. Its description in RNAcentral is "partial 23S ribosomal RNA". It matches the Rfam family "Bacterial large subunit ribosomal RNA", at positions 2774 to 2925 of the family's 2925-position model. Lineage: Bacteria; Bacillati; Actinomycetota; Actinomycetes; Mycobacteriales; Corynebacteriaceae. The record is from RNAcentral.